This is a long non-coding RNA of Ahaetulla prasina, 1569 nucleotides long. RefSeq lists it as uncharacterized. The record is from RefSeq and is a predicted model, not a curated record. NCBI's taxonomy places the organism in Eukaryota, Metazoa, Chordata, Lepidosauria, Squamata, Colubridae. The transcript is spliced from 3 exons.
ACCAAAGAGGGUGGUUUCUUCUCGCUAAGCCUCAGAAUAGCACGUUGCAGAAUGGCUGCCUACCAUUGGGAAGCGCGCCGCAGGCAGAUAAUAAUGGAACACCGGUUGCGACUGAUGCAGGAGAGCAGAAUCUCUGAAGAAAGUCAGCAGCAAGUUUCAAAGGAGAGCACCCAAAAUUCCAAUGUCCUUUUGUGCUCCAACAUGACGCCUCAGAAUUUGCCACAGAAAGAGAUCACACAGGAUCGUUGCCUAUGCCAGACAGAGCAUGUUCCAAGUCAAAGCGGUAAACUACUCAAAAGAUACACGGUAAGAUGACAGAGGUAAAGGAUGGGUUUUUCUUCCCUUCAUGGAAAAUCUGCUGCUGGAAACCUAUUUAUCCCCAGAUCUGAAAUGGGACCCAUUUCAGUCUAGUUCAGGAAUGCUGCAAUUUUUUUAAAGUGCUAUUGGAUAACCUAGAUAUUCAGCUUUCUUUAUGACCUUUACUUCCCAUAUAAAGGGAACAUGCCUGCUUCCCUGUUGUCCAUCUGCUUCAGGAUUUUUCUUUCUAGAAUAGUGCUCACAACCUCCCUGACCCAUUUCAUAACCGAAUCCUGGCUGAAGUUUUAAAUGCACCUUGAAGCCUAAUAAUGUAAAUGGGAACAAAAGGCAUGUUGUUGCCAAAGUCCACAUGACCGCACAAAUAGCAAUAGCUAUAGCAACAGCAAUAGCACAGACUUAUAGAUCACUCCACAGUGCUUUGCAGCAUUCUCUGGGCAGUUUAUAGUGUCAACAUAUUGCUCAAAACAAUCUGGGUCCCCAUUUUACCAACCUCAGAAGGAUAGAAGGUUUGCGCCCCGUCAGGACUGAACUCCAGGCUAUGGAGAAUACUACCUUUUAUCCACUAUGCCAACAGAUAGGUGUUGCUGUAAAGCUCAAUGGAUUUGUCUGCACCAAACGUUAGGUGGGAUAUUAAUGCAACUUGCCUUUCUGUUCCUCUGACUGGCAUGUCUUUGGCUUUGGGUAGGAUGGGGUGCGGUGUUGAAUUAGGGAUUAAUGAGCUAUAUUUUCUCUUCUAGUCUUUAGACUACAUACAACAGUGGUAACAACAAUACAGCUGAAAACUGUAUGGAGAAAUGUUGUUCUGUAACUGCUGCAGGACAAAAUGCCGCACGUCUGAGCUGAAAAGUCUGCCAGAGCGUACAGUGAAGAUUAAUCUUUCGGGAAGUCUUCUAAUAAAAGUUCUCUGGAGUCACAGAUCCACAGUGCCUGCCUUUGUGUGAAACUUUGCUAUGACCUCUCCCCACUUUUCUGCCUGAAACUUUUAGCCACAGCCCAAACUGGCCUGUUAUCUCUUUUGUUUUGGGGAACAGGUUUGAAAAAGACUGGGAAAGAAUCUGGUAGGACAGAUUUAAGUUGUCAUGCUAAGCCUUUUAGCACUGCUGAGACAUUGCUAUUCUGUAAUUUUCCAUGAAACUAAAACAGAAAUUAAAAACAGAAGCAGGCUUUUAUCCAGAAAAAUCCUUCCCCAUUUCCAUUUCUAGGCUUUCACCAAGAAAUCCAGCUGAACGAAUUUUGUAACUGAUCCCACCC